GAAGCUCUGAAGGCUGCUAGGAGGGCCACGGGAGCUGUGGGAGAGGGUGAGGCUGGAGCCCUGUGGGCUAACAGACAGGGCUCUAAUUCGUGACAUCGUGGCAACAAACUAUUAGAAAUGAGGCUAGACCUGGAAGCCCUGGGGGCACAGUCUGGAGGGGAGACAGACGAGAGCUAAGUAGAAUGCAGGCAAUGACGCCGUAACAGAGAUCUGCACAGCGACCAUUGCACAGCGUGGGGGCAGGCUUCUGAGAGGAGGUAACAUGCUGAAAAGACAACGUGUACAGCUGACAUUAGUACACAACCUCAUCGGAGAGAGAAGAAGCGGAGGGAAUCCCAGGAGCAGGGGCCAUCAUGCUCAAAGGUUCCAAGGUACGGAAUCCAACCACAGUGCCCACUGUGGUGAAGCCACUGCGCUGGUCCGAGAAGAAAGUGACAAACAAAAUGACAUGGAGCCCAAUUCAUCCUGAGAGCAGAACCUCGGAGCCAUGUGGUUAAGAUGGAAAUUCCACUUUUAGUCCAAGCAAAUCUUCUGAUGUAUCAAGUUUGAGGGUGAGGUUUCAUUAAAGGAAUUUAAAAUAAAAAA
Homo sapiens (human) is the source of this 585-nucleotide long non-coding RNA. Lineage: Eukaryota; Metazoa; Chordata; Mammalia; Primates; Hominidae. The record is from Ensembl.